Molecule: transfer RNA, 71 nt
Organism: Wallemia ichthyophaga EXF-994
Lineage: Eukaryota; Fungi; Basidiomycota; Wallemiomycetes; Wallemiales; Wallemiaceae
Rfam family: tRNA
About the family: Transfer RNA (tRNA) molecules are approximately 80 nucleotides in length. Their secondary structure includes four short double-helical elements and three loops (D, anti-codon, and T loops).
Source: Rfam
GCAUGUGUCGUAUAAUGGCAAUAUAGUGGUCUUCCAUAUCAUUGACGUGGGUUCGAUUCCCACCACAUGUA